CCGAGUUUACAAACUCCCAACCCUGUGAACAUACCUAUACGUUGCCUCGGGGGCCGGGAAUCCAGGCCGCGCGGCACCCUUAUAGGGGGACGGCCCGCCGUCAGAGGACCCGAAACUCUGUAAUUUACUGGACUCUCUGAGUAAACUAACAAUAAGUCA
This 159-nucleotide unclassified non-coding RNA is filed under the name soil metagenome. RNAcentral's name for it is "partial internal transcribed spacer 1". The record is from RNAcentral.